AGCGCAGGCGGUUUCUUAAGUCUGAUGUGAAAGCCCCCGGCUCAACCGGGGAGGGUCAUUGGAAACUGGGGAACUUGAGUGCAGAAGAGGAGAGUGGAAUUCCAUGUGUAGCGGUGAAAUGCGUAGAUAUAUGGAGGAACACCAGUGGCGAAGGCGGCUCUCUGGUCUGUAACUGACGCUGAGGCUCGAAAGCGUGGGAGCAAACA
Molecule: ribosomal RNA, 206 nt
Filed under: uncultured bacterium
Lineage: Bacteria
Description: partial 16S ribosomal RNA
Rfam family: Bacterial small subunit ribosomal RNA
Source: RNAcentral